GAAAGUUUGACGACACUCUGGUGCCUAAUUUUACUCCCGUACUGGGUUCCUAUUUGGUUCAAACAAGAUAAAUUGAUGCUUUGCUCGUUAGUUUGAUGAUCUCUACCUUUCUUCAUACUGAGCAAUGGUGUCAGACAUUUCUU
Molecule: small nucleolar RNA, 143 nt
Filed under: Kazachstania africana CBS 2517
Lineage: Eukaryota; Fungi; Ascomycota; Saccharomycetes; Saccharomycetales; Saccharomycetaceae
Description: Small nucleolar RNA snR80
Rfam family: Small nucleolar RNA snR80
Source: Rfam by way of RNAcentral